This 273-nucleotide ribosomal RNA is filed under the name uncultured Eubacterium sp. Its description in RNAcentral is "partial 16S ribosomal RNA". It matches the Rfam family "Bacterial small subunit ribosomal RNA", at positions 355 to 643 of the family's 1533-position model. Lineage: Bacteria; Bacillati; Bacillota; Clostridia; Eubacteriales; Eubacteriaceae. The record is from RNAcentral.
UGGGGAAUAUUGCACAAUGGGGGGAAACCCUGAUGCAGCAACGCCGCGUGAAGGAAGACGGUUUUCGGAUUGUAAACUUCUGUUCUUAGUGAAGAAUAAUGACGGUAGCUAAGGAGCAAGCCACGGCUAACUACGUGCCAGCAGCCGCGGUAAUACGUAGGUGGCAAGCGUUGUCCGGAAUUACUGGGUGUAAAGGGAGCGUAGGCGGGAUGCCAAGUCAGCUGUGAAAACUAUGGGCUUAACCUGUAGACUGCAGUUGAAACUGGUAUUCUU